Molecule: ribosomal RNA, 253 nt
Filed under: uncultured bacterium
Lineage: Bacteria
Description: partial 16S ribosomal RNA
Rfam family: Bacterial small subunit ribosomal RNA
Source: RNAcentral
UACAGAGGGUGCGAGCGUUAAUCGGAAUUACUGGGCGUAAAGCGUGCGUAGACGGCUAUCUAAGUCGGGUGUGAAAGCCCCGGGCUCAACCUGGGAAUGGCAUUGAAUACGAUUAGACUCGAGUCGAACAGAGGGCUGUGGAAUUUCCGGUGUAGCGGUGAAAUGCGUAGAGAUCGGAAAGAAUAUCGAUGGCGAAGGCAACAGCCUGGGUUCAGACUGACACUGAGGUGCGAGAGCGUGGGUAGCAAACAGG